RNAcentral lists this long non-coding RNA (217 nucleotides) under Lathyrus oleraceus (garden pea). Its description in RNAcentral is "Pisum sativum (pea) long non-coding RNA (PSAT_LNC017976)". The record is from RNAcentral. Lineage: Eukaryota; Viridiplantae; Streptophyta; Magnoliopsida; Fabales; Fabaceae.
UCCUACCCUCAUCCUUUUGGUGACGGUGAUCCGUAACAGUUAUCGACUUAUUCUCAUCCUUUUGGUGACGGUGACCAUUUGAGUUAUGGACUCAUUAUCAUCCUUUUGGUGAUAACGGGUUUUGUUUUGAUCUUACCCUUAUCCUUUUGGUGAUGGCGAUCAUUAAGUUUGUUUCGGCUUAUUAUCAUCCUUUUGGUGAUAACAAGUUUUGAAGUUC